This 520-nucleotide ribosomal RNA is filed under the name Providencia rettgeri. RNAcentral describes it as "partial 23S ribosomal RNA". It matches the Rfam family "Bacterial large subunit ribosomal RNA", at positions 1 to 560 of the family's 2925-position model. The record is from RNAcentral. Lineage: Bacteria; Pseudomonadati; Pseudomonadota; Gammaproteobacteria; Enterobacterales; Morganellaceae.
GGUUAAGCGACUAAGCGUACACGGUGGAUGCCUAGGCAAUCAGAGGCGAUGAAGGACGUGCUAAUCUGCGAUAAGCGUCGGUAAGGUGAUAUGAACCGUUACAACCGACGAUUUCCGAAUGGGGAAACCCAGUGCAAUUCGUUGCACUAUCGUUUGAUGAAUACAUAGUCAAACGAAGCGAACCGGGGGAACUGAAACAUCUCAGUACCCCGAGGAAAAGAAAUCAACCGAGAUUCCCCUAGUAGCGGCGAGCGAACGGGGAGCAGCCCAGAGUCUUAAUCAGCAUUAGCAUCAGGAGAACGGUCUGGAAAGUCCGGCAGUAAAGGGUGAUAGCCCCGUAUCCGAAGGUGUUAGUGUUGUGAACUCGACGAGUAGGGCGGGACACGUGUUAUCCUGUCUGAAUAUGGGGGGACCAUCCUCCAAGGCUAAAUACUCCUGAUUGACCGAUAGUGAACCAGUACCGUGAGGGAAAGGCGAAAAGAACCCCGGCGAGGGGAGUGAAAUAGAACCUGAAACCGUG